This 405-nucleotide ribosomal RNA is filed under the name uncultured bacterium. RNAcentral describes it as "partial 16S ribosomal RNA". It matches the Rfam family "Bacterial small subunit ribosomal RNA", at positions 28 to 526 of the family's 1533-position model. The record is from RNAcentral.
GAUGAACGCUGGCGGCGUGCCUAAUACAUGCAAGUCGAGCGAUGCGUGUACGGUUGUUUAACACUUGGAUAACCUCCUAUAAGACUGGGCUAACUUCGGUUACCCUGAGCUACACCCGAUACUUAUUGAUUGCUCCUCGCUGCAUUAGCUAGUUGGUAAGUUAACGGCUUACCAAGGCAACGAUGCAUAGCCGACCUGAGAGGGUGAUCGGCAACACUGGAACGGGGACCUGGUCCAGACUCCUACGUGAGGCAGCAGUAGGGAAUCUUCCGCAAUGGGCGAAAGCCUGACGGAGCAACGCCGCGUGAGUGAUGAAGGUCUUCGGAUCGUAAAACUCUGUUAUUAGGGAAGCGGGAACUAAAGAGAAAGCAACGGCUAACUACGUGCCAGCCGCCGCGGUAAUAG